RNAcentral lists this long non-coding RNA (1203 nucleotides) under Marmota monax (woodchuck). Lineage: Eukaryota; Metazoa; Chordata; Mammalia; Rodentia; Sciuridae. The record is from RNAcentral.
GUAAACAUCUGCUGAAUGAACCAACCAACUUAUUUGCCUACAGAGAUAGAACUUAAAUCAACACAGAGGUCGUGAAUAAACACAAAAUAAAGAUAAGGGGAUAUUAUUGGAAAGACUCAACCAGAAGACUGUCCUAGGAAAAGGUUCACUGCAGAAAUCAGAAGACAAUUUUAUCUCCCACACUAAAACAUGCACCAUCUAACUAGUAGCAAGUGUCCACAAUAACAAAACAAGGUGAAAUGGAACAGCAAGACAAGGAAUUGGAAGAGUAAAGAAAAGUUCAUGAUAGCAAGGGAACGUUAAGACCUUGGAAAAUGGAUGUUUAGGUGAGUGUCCAGCUUCCAAUGGCAUCCAGAGGAGGUAUUCCAAGAGAGAGCUAUUAAAGCAGAUCAGAUGCAAAGUCAGAGGAAAGCACGCUAACCAAAGGCUUUGGCAUCCCUGAGCACAACCAGAACUUUCAAUUAUUGCAAUCAUUUGUGAAUUUAAAAUUUUAUUUAGAAUAGGCCCCAGGUAACUGGGCUUAAUAAUUUUCAUAUAGAAUCAGUAAGAUGAUAAUUAUCGUAGGACAUGAUUUAACAAGAGGAGGAAGAGGGGGAGACCUACAAAGUUCAGGUAUCCUAGAAAAGACCAGAAACUGUCUAGUUUUGUGUUUCACUUACUUGCUGCAUUGAAUACUGGGUGACAAAUGGCAUGCUUGCAUUUCAAAGAGGACAAUCAUGUUGGAAGGAUUCAGAACACAUUUCAUCCAAAUGGCAUUUUAAAAGUAUAAUAAAAGCUGGGCACGGUGGAACAUGCCUGUAAUCCCAGCGGCUUGGGAGGCUGAGACAGAAGGAUCGAGAGUUCAAAGCCAGCCUCAGCAACAGCGAGGCACUAAGCAACUCAGUGAGACUCUGUCUCUAAAUAAAACAUAUAAUAAGGCUGAGGAUCUGACUCAGGGGUUGAGUGCCCCUGAGUUCAAUCCCCAGUAUCAAAAUAAAAUAAAAUAAAAUAAAACCAUAGUAAAAUUUAUUUUUUAAAAUACUACAUUGCCUUUUCAUUUCAAGCAAAAAUGCUGGCUGCUAAUUUCUUCCCUUCAAUUUGUGAUGUUUGACCCAUUUUCUUAUGUCCCCUUUACCAAGAUUGCACAUCAUUCCAAGGACAAAAAAUUGGUUGACAUUCCAUUGGUUCCUGAAGCCACGUCUAUCGGGAAAAGCAUGUCCUGGC